RNAcentral lists this ribosomal RNA (537 nucleotides) under Triticum aestivum (bread wheat). RNAcentral's name for it is "partial small subunit ribosomal RNA". The record is from RNAcentral. Lineage: Eukaryota; Viridiplantae; Streptophyta; Magnoliopsida; Poales; Poaceae.
AUGACGACGGCUCUAUCCACCGUGCUGGCGGCGGCGGCCUUGAUCCUGAGCGCCCGCACCGUCAACGCGGCGGUGGCGGACACGUGCAAGGCGGCCGCGGCCAGUGACGUGCGCGUCAACGUGGAGCUGUGCAUGUCAAAGCUCGGCAGCCACCGCGACAGCCUCGAGGCGGCGGACGCCCGGGGCCUGGCCAAGGUGGCCUCGCUCGUCGGCGUCGACAACGCCAACCUCGCCGCCGCCGACGUCAAGGCCCAGGAGGCCGCCGACCCCAAUGUGCGCAUGAAGCCGGCGCUCGCCAAGUGCGCCACGCUCUACAAGGACGUGGGCAUGUGCUUCGCCAACGCGCACGACCAGAUCAACAACCACGCCUACCCCGCGGCCAAGCAGAGGCUCGACGAGGCCCUGGCGCAGACGCAGCUGUGCAACGCCGCGUUCGCGACCGCCGGCGUGACCCUGCCUCAGCCGCUGGCCCUGCACACCGUCGACUGCAUCCAGAUCGCCAUCAUCGCCGGCGCCAUCACCAACCUCAUCAAGUGA